UUUCAUCUUCUCCCGCCCCUCUCCUAUACACAUCGAUUACCAGCAACAAAUUCAACCAAACUACUGCACUUGCAAGGUUCGGAUUUGAGGGUUUCUAUUUGAAAACACUUCCGAUUUGUAAACAUUGGCGAUGAUACGGCUUCGGUCACACACAAAAACACACACUUGCUCGGUCCAAUCUACUCAUCAUCAGUCAUCGCAAGUAAUCGAGAGAUCCAAACACUUCGAAUAAGAUCCACACUUGUCGCAUUUCUAUUUCACCUGCCGCGGACCUUGAAUAUGUUCUGAAUUCCGUGAAGAAAGGUGACGAGCUUGAACUUUCGGAAGCUAUUAGAGAUUAUCAUGAUAGUACUGGAUUGCCUCAUAUGGUGUAAACGAUGAUGACCUCCGUGAAACGGCUUAUGAAAUUCUGUUGGCUGCUGCUGGGGCUUUAUCUACCUAUCUGUACACACACACACAAUUUUAAUCUUGUAUUCUUGGUCAUUUUGCUGUGCUUGGUUCUUUUACAACCCUAGUGCUGCCAGUAUCUUUGGACUGUAAUGUAAUUGUUGUUCAAACAGGGGCCUUAUAGUGCCAUCAAAGGAAAAGAAAAAAGAAAAGAAAUCCAG
RNAcentral lists this long non-coding RNA (608 nucleotides) under Helianthus annuus (common sunflower). Lineage: Eukaryota; Viridiplantae; Streptophyta; Magnoliopsida; Asterales; Asteraceae. The record is from RNAcentral.